Tigriopus californicus is the source of this 315-nucleotide long non-coding RNA. RefSeq lists it as uncharacterized. The transcript is spliced from 3 exons. The record is from RefSeq and is a predicted model, not a curated record. NCBI's taxonomy places the organism in Eukaryota, Metazoa, Arthropoda, Copepoda, Harpacticoida, Harpacticidae.
UCUAAAGUAGGCUUCAAUUAUGCCUAAUUCCACGGGCAUAACGAUGAAUGGAGGAGCAACAACCCGAAUUGGAGGCGCCAAAUUAAUGAAUGAUUCGAAAUGAGGCCGUCUUCCAUCCAGAAGCAUUAAGCGAACAAAACGACCCAACAAGAGAGAGAGCGAGAAAGCCUUAAGAGACCCGAAAUCGGUGCCUGCCGGAGGUGCUCGUUAAUAAUGGCGUGAAAAGUUGUGGAUGAAAGCAUUAAGAUCCACAAAACGAAGGCUCAGGACUUGAAAUGAAGACUCCGUGAAAGGAUUGCCUAUGAUAUGUCAUUG